This 440-nucleotide ribosomal RNA is filed under the name uncultured bacterium. RNAcentral's name for it is "partial 16S ribosomal RNA". It matches the Rfam family "Bacterial small subunit ribosomal RNA", at positions 338 to 795 of the family's 1533-position model. The record is from RNAcentral.
CCUACGGGAGGCAGCAGUGGGGAAUAUUGCACAAUGGGGGAAACCCUGAUGCAGCGACGCCGCGUGAGUGAAGAAGUAAUUCGUUAUGUAAAGCUCUAUCAGCAGGGAAGAAAAUGACGGUACCUGAGUAAGAAGCCCCGGCUAACUACGUGCCAGCAGCCGCGGUAAUACGUAGGGGGCAAGCGUUAUCCGGAUUUACUGGGUGUAAAGGGAGCGUAGACGGCAGUGCAAGUCUGGAGUGAAAGGCGAGGGCUCAACCCCCGGACUGCUCUGGAAACUGUACGGCUGGAGUGCAGGAGAGGUAAGUGGAAUUCCUAGUGUAGCAGUGAAAUGCGUAGAUAUUAGGAGGAACACCAGUGGCGAAGGCGGGUUACUGGACUGUAACUGACGUUGAGGCUCGAAAGCGUGGGGAGCAAACAGGAUUAGAUACCCCUGUAGUC